RNAcentral lists this ribosomal RNA (1730 nucleotides) under Escherichia coli. Its description in RNAcentral is "partial 23S ribosomal RNA". It matches the Rfam family "Bacterial large subunit ribosomal RNA", at positions 165 to 1919 of the family's 2925-position model. Lineage: Bacteria; Pseudomonadati; Pseudomonadota; Gammaproteobacteria; Enterobacterales; Enterobacteriaceae. The record is from RNAcentral.
CAUAGGUUAAUGAGGCGAACCGGGGGAACUGAAACAUCUAAGUACCCCGAGGAAAAGAAAUCAACCGAGAUUCCCCCAGUAGCGGCGAGCGAACGGGGAGCAGCCCAGAGCCUGAAUCAGUGUGUGUGUUAGUGGAAGCGUCUGGAAAGGCGCGCGAUACAGGGUGACAGCCCCGUACACAAAAAUGCACAUGCUGUGAGCUCGAUGAGUAGGGCGGGACACGUGGUAUCCUGUCUGAAUAUGGGGGGACCAUCCUCCAAGGCUAAAUACUCCUGACUGACCGAUAGUGAACCAGUACCGUGAGGGAAAGGCGAAAAGAACCCCGGCGAGGGGAGUGAAAAAGAACCUGAAACCGUGUACGUACAAGCAGUGGGAGCACGCUUAGGCGUGUGACUGCGUACCUUUUGUAUAAUGGGUCAGCGACUUAUAUUCUGUAGCAAGGUUAACCGAAUAGGGGAGCCGAAGGGAAACCGAGUCUUAACUGGGCGUUAAGUUGCAGGGUAUAGACCCGAAACCCGGUGAUCUAGCCAUGGGCAGGUUGAAGGUUGGGUAACACUAACUGGAGGACCGAACCGACUAAUGUUGAAAAAUUAGCGGAUGACUUGUGGCUGGGGGUGAAAGGCCAAUCAAACCGGGAGAUAGCUGGUUCUCCCCGAAAGCUAUUUAGGUAGCGCCUCGUGAAUUCAUCUCCGGGGGUAGAGCACUGUUUCGGCAAGGGGGUCAUCCCGACUUACCAACCCGAUGCAAACUGCGAAUACCGGAGAAUGUUAUCACGGGAGACACACGGCGGGUGCUAACGUCCGUCGUGAAGAGGGAAACAACCCAGACCGCCAGCUAAGGUCCCAAAGUCAUGGUUAAGUGGGAAACGAUGUGGGAAGGCCCAGACAGCCAGGAUGUUGGCUUAGAAGCAGCCAUCAUUUAAAGAAAGCGUAAUAGCUCACUGGUCGAGUCGGCCUGCGCGGAAGAUGUAACGGGGCUAAACCAUGCACCGAAGCUGCGGCAGCGACGCUUAUGCGUUGUUGGGUAGGGGAGCGUUCUGUAAGCCUGUGAAGGUGUGCUGUGAGGCAUGCUGGAGGUAUCAGAAGUGCGAAUGCUGACAUAAGUAACGAUAAAGCGGGUGAAAAGCCCGCUCGCCGGAAGACCAAGGGUUCCUGUCCAACGUUAAUCGGGGCAGGGUGAGUCGACCCCUAAGGCGAGGCCGAAAGGCGUAGUCGAUGGGAAACAGGUUAAUAUUCCUGUACUUGGUGUUACUGCGAAGGGGGGACGGAGAAGGCUAUGUUGGCCGGGCGACGGUUGUCCCGGUUUAAGCGUGUAGGCUGGUUUUCCAGGCAAAUCCGGAAAAUCAAGGCUGAGGCGUGAUGACGAGGCACUACGGUGCUGAAGCAACAAAUGCCCUGCUUCCAGGAAAAGCCUCUAAGCAUCAGGUAACAUCAAAUCGUACCCCAAACCGACACAGGUGGUCAGGUAGAGAAUACCAAGGCGCUUGAGAGAACUCGGGUGAAGGAACUAGGCAAAAUGGUGCCGUAACUUCGGGAGAAGGCACGCUGAUAUGUAGGUGAAGUCCCUUGCGGAUGGAGCUGAAAUCAGUCGAAGAUACCAGCUGGCUGCAACUGUUUAUUAAAAACACAGCACUGUGCAAACACGAAAGUGGACGUAUACGGUGUGACGCCUGCCCGGUGCCGGAAGGUUAAUUGAUGGGGUUAGCGCAAGCGAAGCUCUUGAUCGAAGCC